CCUAUGGGUGGCUGCAGUGGGGAAUAUUGGACAAUGGGCGAAAGCCUGAUCCAGCCAUGCCGCGUGUGUGAAGAAGGCCUUCGGGUUGUAAAGCACUUUCAGUGGGGAAGAAAGCCUUGGGGCUAAUACCCUCGAGGAAGGACAUCACCCACAGAAGAAGCACCGGCUAACUCCGUGCCAGCAGCCGCGGUAAUACGGAGGGUGCGAGCGUUAAUCGGAAUUACUGGGCGUAAAGCGCGCGUAGGCGGUCUGAUAAGCCGGUUGUGAAAGCCCCGGGCUCAACCUGGGAACGGCAUCCGGAACUGUCAGGCUAGAGUGCAGGAGAGGAAGGUAGAAUUCCCGGUGUAGCGGUGAAAUGCGUAGAGAUCGGGAGGAAUACCAGUGGCGAAGGCGGCCUUCUGGACUGACACUGACGCUGAGGUGCGAAAGCGUGGGUAGCAAACAGGAUUAGAUACCCGAGUAGUC
This 465-nucleotide ribosomal RNA is filed under the name Vreelandella stevensii. RNAcentral describes it as "partial 16S ribosomal RNA". It matches the Rfam family "Bacterial small subunit ribosomal RNA", at positions 338 to 795 of the family's 1533-position model. The record is from RNAcentral. Lineage: Bacteria; Pseudomonadati; Pseudomonadota; Gammaproteobacteria; Oceanospirillales; Halomonadaceae.